RNAcentral lists this ribosomal RNA (291 nucleotides) under Aegla leptodactyla. RNAcentral's name for it is "partial 12S small subunit ribosomal RNA". Lineage: Eukaryota; Metazoa; Arthropoda; Malacostraca; Decapoda; Aeglidae. The record is from RNAcentral.
UAUUUUAGUCUUGUUAGAGGAACCUGUUUUAUAAUCGAUAAACCACGUAUAUCUUACUUAUUUUAAAUAAUUUGUAUACCGUCAUUAUUAGAUAACUUUUAAAAAAUUAGUUAUUAAAAUUAAAAAAAAAAUUAAAUAUAUUAGAUCAAGGUGCAGUUAAUAAAUAAGAAAAAAUGGGUUACAAUAAAAAUUUAUUUAAAACGAAUUAUAUAAAUGUAAAAAUAUAUGAAGGAGGAUUUAAUUGUAAUUUUUUUUUUAUAAAAUAAUAAUAUGAUAAUAGCUCUAAAAUAU